CGCCACUGUCGAGUUCAAGUUCCACUUCCGGGGUCCUCGGCGAGCAUCUGACAUCAUCAGGCCUACAGUCGCCAACCCGGAAGUGGACGAUGCGCGUGUGCGCCGCGGCGGCGACAGAAGUGACGGUCAACGGCAGAAAAGCGCAUGCGCUAGGCAUAGGGACCUGGGAAGUAACCAUGAUCUUCCUCUGUGGGGCCUUCAUCUCUGAUCUUUCCAGCUCCUACAGACUAUCAUUGCAUGGCCUCUCUUCCCACAGAAGGAGCAUAUUAAGGGGUCUAUCAGAGCAAUCUCUCAUGGCUCUUAAUAAUGCUUCUCUGGCCAGGACUAGUUUUGUGUGAUAUUAUACAACAUUGGGGUUCCAGUGUGUAUCUACAGUUGGCCAAUGGUGAGCUCCUUUACUGUUUUUCUGAUUAGCUAGAGAGAUGACAUUAUUUUUCUCUCUCUUUGUCAGAAAUGUAUCUAACAAAUUUUCCACAUCCAACAAAGAAGGGUCAAAGUUUCUAAAUAUAUUCUCUAAUUUUUCUAUAACCAAUAUUGGUUCUGCCUCAAAUGAUGGAACAUUGUGCUUGAAUUUUUAUAAAUCGUCAGGUUUAAAAGGUGUAUAGUGUCUUACAGACACCAAGUUCCCCUCUUUAUUAAAGGUGGGUACUUCCCACAAUGGAAAUAAACUUCUGUCCAAAUUAUCUGGUGUUACUGUU
RNAcentral lists this long non-coding RNA (698 nucleotides) under Monodelphis domestica (gray short-tailed opossum). Its description in RNAcentral is "lncRNA (ENSMODG00000036845.1)". The record is from RNAcentral. Lineage: Eukaryota; Metazoa; Chordata; Mammalia; Didelphimorphia; Didelphidae.